GACGAACGCUGGCGGCGUGCUUAACACAUGCAAGUCGAACGGAAAGGCCCUGCUUUUGUGGGGUGCUCGAGUGGCGAACGGGUGAGUAACACGCGAGUAACCUGCCCUUGACUUUGGGAUAACUUCAGGAAACUGGGGCUAAUACCGGAUAGGAGCUCCUGCUGCAUGGUGGGGGUUGGAAAGUUUCGGCGGUUGGGGAUGGACUCGCGGCUUAUCAGCUUGUUGGUGGGGUAGUGGCUUACCAAGGCUUUGACGGGUAGCCGGCCUGAGAGGGUGACCGGCCACAUGGGGACUGAGAUACGGCCCAGACUCCUACGGGAGGCAGCAGGGGGGAAUAUUGCACAAGGGGCGGAAGCCUGAUGCAGCAACGCCGCGUGCGGGAUGACGGCCUUCGGGUUGUAAACCGCUUUCGCCUGUGACGAAGCGUGAGUGACGGUAAUGGGUAAAGAAGCACCGGCUAACUACGU
Molecule: ribosomal RNA, 467 nt
Filed under: uncultured bacterium
Lineage: Bacteria
Description: partial 16S ribosomal RNA
Rfam family: Bacterial small subunit ribosomal RNA
Source: RNAcentral